Molecule: long non-coding RNA, 523 nt
Organism: Syzygium oleosum
Lineage: Eukaryota; Viridiplantae; Streptophyta; Magnoliopsida; Myrtales; Myrtaceae
Exons: 2
Source: RefSeq, a predicted model, not a curated record
AAGGCCCUUACAAUCCUCGAUGAGAUUCCUGAUGGGCUUCACUUGACAAGAGCUUCACAAUUGAUAAGCUAUCACUAUGGAGUUCUAUUGGCAAAUCAAAGCAAGCACUCCUCAGAUCAGUUCGCAGCUUCACCUCUGACAAAUGUUGAAGACCUUCGCGAGUAGCUAGGGUUUCCACCAUUAAAGCUGAUUCAACACGGACUUGCUUUGCAAAGUCAUCGACGAGCACACCAUGAGCAUUUCUGUAUACUCCGGCAACUGAGGCCUCUGAAAUGCUGUCUAUCCAUGAUCCGUCGACGUGAAGCUUCCACGAGCCUUGGUUCGGCAGCCUCCACUUUGCAGGCUUCAUCCACAACCAACAAGGGAAUUGGAUUGUGUGCUUAAAAAACAAAGGAGUUCCUGGCUUUCCAUAUCAACCACAGGACGCUCACUAGUAAUUCUCGUGUAGGAAUUGUUGAUUCCCCAGUCAGUACUUCAAAUACCCAUUUGUCUAUUCUUAUAAUAUUCUGCGAAGACGUGUCAA